RNAcentral lists this ribosomal RNA (251 nucleotides) under uncultured bacterium. RNAcentral's name for it is "partial 16S ribosomal RNA". It matches the Rfam family "Bacterial small subunit ribosomal RNA", at positions 524 to 776 of the family's 1533-position model. The record is from RNAcentral.
UACAGAGGUCCCAAGCGUUGUUCGGAUUCACUGGGCGUAAAGGGUGCGUAGGCGGUCGGGUAAGUCUGAUGUGAAAUCUCACAGCUUAACCGUGAAACUGCAUUGGAUACUAUCCGGCUCGAGGAAUGGAGGGAGACUGGAAUACUUGGUGUAGCAGUGAAAUGCGUAGAUAUCAAGUGGAACACCAGUGGCGAAGGCGAGUCUCUGGACAUUUCCUGACGCUGAGGCACGAAAGCCAGGGAGCAAACGGG